GAUGAACGCUGGCGGCGUGCCUAAUACAUGCAAGUCGAGCGAAUGGAUUAAGAGCUUGCUCUUAUGAAGUUAGCGGCGGACGGGUGAGUAACACGUGGGUAACCUGCCCAUAAGACUGGGAUAACUCCGGGAAACCGGGGCUAAUACCGGGUAACAUUUUGAACCGCAUGGUUCGAAAUUGAAAGGCGGCUUCGGCUGUCACUUAUGGAUGGACCCGCGUCGCAUUAGCUAGUUGGUGAGGUAACGGCUCACCAAGGCAACGAUGCGUAGCCGACCUGAGAGGGUGAUCGGCCACACUGGGACUGAGACACGGCCCAGACUCCUACGGGAGGCAGCAGUAGGGAAUCUUCCGCAAUGGACGAAAGUCUGACGGAGCAACGCCACGUGAGUGAUGAGGGCUUUCGGGUCGUAAAACUCUGUUGUUAGGGAAGAACAAGUGCUAGUUGAAUAAGCUGGCACCUUGACGGUACCUAACCAGAAAGCCACGGCUAACUACGUGCCAGCCGCCGCCGUAA
This 515-nucleotide ribosomal RNA is filed under the name uncultured bacterium. RNAcentral's name for it is "partial 16S ribosomal RNA". It matches the Rfam family "Bacterial small subunit ribosomal RNA", at positions 28 to 523 of the family's 1533-position model. The record is from RNAcentral.